Molecule: RNase P RNA, 378 nt
Filed under: Compostimonas suwonensis
Lineage: Bacteria; Bacillati; Actinomycetota; Actinomycetes; Micrococcales; Microbacteriaceae
Description: Microbacteriaceae bacterium SMC46 Bacterial RNase P class A
Rfam family: Bacterial RNase P class A
About the family: Ribonuclease P (RNase P) is a ubiquitous endoribonuclease, found in archaea, bacteria and eukarya as well as chloroplasts and mitochondria.
Source: Rfam by way of RNAcentral
UGGGUCGGCAAGACGGCCGCGUCGUCAGCACUCCUGGAGUGCCGGCGCCGAGGAACGUCCGGGCUCCACAGAGCAGGGCGGUGGGUAACACCCACCCGGGGCAACCCGCGAGACAGUGCCACAGAAAACAGACCGCCCGUCGCGUGCGACGGGUAAGGGUGAAACGGUGGUGUAAGAGACCACCAGCGACCGGGGCGACCCGGCCGGCUCGGUAAACCUCGCCCGGAGCAAGGUCAGACAGGGAACGCCAAGGCUGCUCGCCGAGUUCCCGGGUAGACCGCUAGAGGGCUGCGGCAACGUAGUCCCGAGAUAGAUGGCCGUCCAGUGCGAUGUCUGACAUCGUGCGAACAGAACCCGGCGUAUCAGCCGGCCCAUUCC